This 333-nucleotide ribosomal RNA is filed under the name Arachnodes balianus. RNAcentral's name for it is "eukaryotic LSU rRNA". It matches the Rfam family "Eukaryotic large subunit ribosomal RNA", at positions 656 to 954 of the family's 3401-position model. The record is from RNAcentral. Lineage: Eukaryota; Metazoa; Arthropoda; Insecta; Coleoptera; Scarabaeidae.
GAAACACGGACCAAGGAGUCUAGCAUGUGCGCGAGUCAUUGGGACUCUUGUUAAACCUAAAGGCGCAAUGAAAGUAAAGGUCCGCCUCGCGCGGACCGAGGGAGGAUGGGUCCGUCCCCGGGCGGGCCCCGCACUCCCGGGGCGUCUCGUUCUCAUCGCGAGAAGAGGCGCACCCAGAGCGUACACGCUGGGACCCGAAAGAUGGUGAACUAUGCCUGGUCAGGACGAAGUCAGGGGAAACCCUGAUGGAGGUCCGUAGCGAUUCUGACGUGCAAAUCGAUCGUCGGAACUGGGUAUAGGGGCGAAAGACUAAUCGAACCUUCUAGUAGCUGG